This is a transfer RNA of Fragilariopsis cylindrus CCMP1102, 73 nucleotides long. It matches the Rfam family "tRNA". Rfam says of the family: Transfer RNA (tRNA) molecules are approximately 80 nucleotides in length. Their secondary structure includes four short double-helical elements and three loops (D, anti-codon, and T loops). Further hydrogen bonds mediate the characteristic L-shaped molecular structure. tRNAs have two regions of fundamental functional importance: the anti-codon, which is responsible for specific mRNA codon recognition, and the 3' end, to which the tRNAs corresponding amino acid is attached (by aminoacyl-tRNA synthetases). tRNAs cope with the degeneracy of the genetic code in two manners: having more than one tRNA (with a specific anti-codon) for a particular amino acid; and 'wobble' base-pairing, i.e. permitting non-standard base-pairing at the 3rd anti-codon position. Lineage: Eukaryota; Bacillariophyta; Bacillariophyceae; Bacillariales; Bacillariaceae. The record is from Rfam.
GGUUCCAUAGCUCAGUUGGUAGAGCAUCGGAUUCCAGACCCGAAGGUCGUGGGUUCAAGUCCCGCUGGGAUCA